CAGACGAGACCAAAAUUGAACUAUUUGGCCUAAACUCUACUCGUCAUGUGUGGAGGAAGAAAAAUGCUGCC
Molecule: non-coding RNA, 71 nt
Organism: Pangasianodon gigas (Mekong giant catfish)
Lineage: Eukaryota; Metazoa; Chordata; Actinopteri; Siluriformes; Pangasiidae
Source: the annotation of a GenBank genome assembly